Molecule: long non-coding RNA, 865 nt
Organism: Xenopus laevis (African clawed frog)
Lineage: Eukaryota; Metazoa; Chordata; Amphibia; Anura; Pipidae
Exons: 3
Source: RefSeq, a predicted model, not a curated record
CUCGGGAGUGACAUCACUGAGGUGAAAAAGAAGAAAUGCAUAUAUUCUAUAAUACAUUAAAUUGUAUACAUUAUAUAUUUGAAAUUCUAGUUAGAACUGAGAUAUCAUUAAAUAACUCACUAAUAACUUUUCUCUAAAUAUUUAUCAUUUAAUAUGCAUGGCAUUAUUAUAAUCCCAGAAAAUACUCUUUGCUUAAAUGAAAAUGUCGUUCUAAGCAACUAGCCAAUAUACAUUAAUUAACGGCACUUCCUGACACUAACUGGAGCUUUCUACUCACCAACUUUUAUUGCAUUGCCCCAUGAUCUAUAACAGUCGGUUUUGGUAAAACAAAACAAAAUAAUAAAAUAUGUUUUCAUUUUCACAGUCGACGUCGACUCUGACUUCCACUAGCAACUCACAGGAUUCACAGCUGAAAUUCCCAAAGAGAAAGAGAUUCAGAAGACAUCUGUCUCCUGCCAAAGAAUGAUCCCUGGCAGAACAUUUAAUAGGGAGUGAGUUGGAAAUGGAAGACCACAAAAACCACUCCGGGAGCCACACUGUUCUUAAGUAUUAUUGAUAAAUUCCCAUUUCACACAUUAGCGCUGAAGUGUAUUGAUUCACUGGAGCCAACUAAUGCGAUUAAACAGCUGGAGUCUUCAGCAGAGAAGUUAAUCCAAAGGAGUUAAUAUCAGAUAACGGACCACAGUUUGUCACAUCUGAGUUUGAAUUAUUUCUGAGAGAGAAGAAUAUUGUGCAUAGAAAAUCUUCAGUGUAUUACCCACAAGCAAAUGGAGAAAUCGAGCGAUUCAACAGAAGUCUGAAAGAAGCACUACAGACAGCAAAUCUUACUGGGAAAUCUUGGAAAGAAUUUACUACAGAGUUCCUA